RNAcentral lists this ribosomal RNA (105 nucleotides) under Lepisosteus oculatus (spotted gar). Lineage: Eukaryota; Metazoa; Chordata; Actinopteri; Semionotiformes; Lepisosteidae. The record is from RNAcentral.
ACCAGCAGGUAUAUCACCCUGCAGCCCUUGAACCUGAAGCUCAGCAGGUGUGAGCCUGGCCAGUACCUGGAUGGGAGACCUCCUGGGAAAAGGUUGCUGCUGGAA